CUUGGCCGAGUGGUUAAGGCGUUAGCCUGCUAAGUUAAUGGGUAAGUUAAUUAGGAAUAGUUUCCUUAUCUGAAGGA
Molecule: transfer RNA, 77 nt
Filed under: Phytophthora infestans (potato late blight agent)
Lineage: Eukaryota; Oomycota; Peronosporomycetes; Peronosporales; Peronosporaceae
Description: tRNA-Ser
Source: RNAcentral